Molecule: ribosomal RNA, 442 nt
Filed under: uncultured bacterium
Lineage: Bacteria
Description: bacterial SSU rRNA
Rfam family: Bacterial small subunit ribosomal RNA
Source: RNAcentral
AUUGAACGCUGGCGGCAUGCCUAACACAUGCAAGUCGAACGGCAGCACGGCAGUAGCAAUACUGUGGGUGGCGAGUGGCGGACGGGUGAGGAAUACGUCGGAAUCUGCCCAGUCGUGGGGGAUAACUAGCCGAAAGGUUAGCUAAUACCGCAUACGACCGAGAGGUGAAAGCGGGGGACCGCAAGGCCUCGCGCGAUUGGAUGAGCCGACGUCGGAUUAGCUAGUUGGUGGGGUAAAGGCCCACCAAGGCGACGAUCCGUAGCUGGUCUGAGAGGAUGAUCAGCCACACUGGAACUGAGACACGGUCCAGACUCCUACGGGAGGCAGCAGUGGGGAAUAUUGGACAAUGGGCGCAAGCCUGAUCCAGCAAUGCCGCGUGUGUGAAGAAGGGCCUUCGGGUUGUAAGUCGACUUUAUCUAGGAACGAAAGACGUUAGGAUUAA